CCUACGGGAGGCAGCAGUGGGGAAUAUUGCACAAUGGGCGCAAGCCUGAUGCAGCCAUGCCGCGUGUGUGAAGAAGGCCUUCGGGUUGUAAAGCACUUUCAGCGGGGAGGAAGGCGUUAAGGUUAAUAGCUUUGGCGAUUGACGUUACCCGCAGAAGAAGCACCGGCUAACUCCGUGCCAGCAGCCGCGGUAAUACGGAGGGUGCAAGCGUUAAUCGGAAUUACUGGGCGUAAAGCGCACGCAGGCGGUCUGUCAAGUCGGAUGUGAAAUCCCCGGGCUCAACCUGGGAACUGCAUUCGAAACUGGCAGGCUAGAGUCUUGUAGAGGGGGGUAGAAUUCCAGGUGUAGCGGUGAAAUGCGUAGAGAUCUGGAGGAAUACCGGUGGCGAAGGCGGCCCCCUGGACAAAGACUGACGCUCAGGUGCGAAAGCGUGGGGAGCAAACAGGAUUAGAUACCCCAGUAGUC
This 465-nucleotide ribosomal RNA is filed under the name uncultured Klebsiella sp. RNAcentral describes it as "bacterial SSU rRNA". It matches the Rfam family "Bacterial small subunit ribosomal RNA", at positions 338 to 795 of the family's 1533-position model. Lineage: Bacteria; Pseudomonadati; Pseudomonadota; Gammaproteobacteria; Enterobacterales; Enterobacteriaceae. The record is from RNAcentral.